GUCCACGCUGUAAACGAUGAGCGCUAGGUGUUGUGGGUGUUGACCCCUGCAGUGCCGAAGCUAACGCAUUAAGCGCUCCGCCUGGGAAGUACGGCCGCAAGGCUAAAACUCAAAGGAAUUGACGGGGGCCCCGCACAAGCGGUGGAGCAUGUGGUUUAAUUCGACGCAACGCGCAGAACCUUACCUGGUCUUGACAUCCCAGGAACCCGCCAGAGAUGGUGGGGUGCCCGCAAGGGAGCCUGGAGACAGGUGCUGCAUGGCUGUCGU
RNAcentral lists this ribosomal RNA (267 nucleotides) under uncultured bacterium. RNAcentral describes it as "partial 16S ribosomal RNA". It matches the Rfam family "Bacterial small subunit ribosomal RNA", at positions 793 to 1055 of the family's 1533-position model. The record is from RNAcentral.